GAUGAAGAACUUAGCGAAAUGCGAUAAGUAAUGUGAAUUGCAGAAUUCAGUGAAUCAUCGAAUCUUUGAACGCACAUUGCGCCCGCCAGUAUUCUGGCGGGCAUGCCUGUUCGAGCGUCAUUUCAACCAUCAAGCCCCCGGCUUGUGUUGGGGACCUGCGGCUGCCGCAGGCCCUGAAAAGCAGUGGCGGGCUCGCUGUCACACCGAGCGUAGUAGCAUACAUCUCGCUCUGGGCGUGCUGCGGGUUCCGGCCGUUAAACCACCUUCAUAACCCAAGGUUGACCUCGGAUCAGGUAGGAAGACCCGCUGAACUUAAGCAUAUCAAUAAGCGGAGGA
RNAcentral lists this unclassified non-coding RNA (336 nucleotides) under soil metagenome. Its description in RNAcentral is "partial contains 5.8S ribosomal RNA, internal transcribed spacer 2, and large subunit ribosomal RNA". The stretch from base 1 to 120 matches the Rfam family "5.8S ribosomal RNA", at positions 35 to 154 of the family's 154-position model. The record is from RNAcentral.